Molecule: long non-coding RNA, 1104 nt
Filed under: Mytilus galloprovincialis (Mediterranean mussel)
Lineage: Eukaryota; Metazoa; Mollusca; Bivalvia; Mytilida; Mytilidae
Source: RNAcentral
GGAGUUCCAACGCCUGUUCUCUGAUGAAAGACUAUAUUUAUUAAAAACAAUAGAAAUCAGUUUUGCUUCAAAUGAGAUAAAUGUGGUUCCUGAUUUGGUUUUCGUUGCUUUACAGAAUGUAUCUUAGAUAACUUUUACAAACAAUCCUAUUACAAAAAUUCCUGUGUCACUCAAAAGACUUCGACCAUGUAAUGUUUUAUUUGGAACAAUUAAAAUGAAAUGUGCGUGUAGUGAUAUUUGGCUACAAAAUUGGCUCCCUUCCAUAGAAGAUUGUUAUAACAAUACUCGUAUAAUGUGCCAGACUUCUUCUGGUUUGAGAUCUAUUCUUGAUAUUGACAUAGAUUUAUUAGGAUGUGACACUGGGGGUGUCGUCAUCCGAUGGAUCACCAUUAUCCUUGGUAUUUGUUUGUGUUGUAUAAUAAUUUCGACUUUUAUUAUCUACAAUUUUCGUAUAGACAUGUACAUUCUUUUAGGACACAUUUUAAACGAGUGAGACAAUCAUCGAUUUCACCGUCAUUUGAGUAUGGAAUAUAUAUAUAUCAUGCAACGAACAAGAUGAAAAUCUACGUAAGUGGAUUAAACAUACUAUGUUGCCAUAUCUUAAAGGAAAUUAAAGACUGUCCGUUUUUCUUCCGUAUCGUGACUGUCAACCCGGCACUCCACGGGAGGAUGAAAUAAGGGAGACAAUGGCAAAAAGUAGAAAUAUAUUGAUUAUUCUUAGUGAGGUCUAUGAUGAUAUAGCUAGACGAUGGUUAGAGUGCGAGCUAAAAUACGCAUGGCUGAACUAUCGUUAUGACUGGCGUAAGAACAUAGUAAUUAUCAAUUACGACUUGCUUGAAACGAAAAAUAUAUCUAAUGAAUUCAUCAAAUCAUUUUCCCGACUUGGCAAAUGUAUCGAUUUCUCGAACUUCCAAAAUGACAUCGAAGCUAAAAUGUCAUCUGUGAUAACUCAACAGGCAGCAGACAUAUUCCUCAAUUAUAAGCUUAAGAAUAGACGUGGGCGAUUUCGUUUUAAAUAAUUUGUGCAGAAAACAUAUUCUUUUACAUUGCAUGAUUCUUUUCAUUAAAAUUAAAACAAAAUGCUUUAGGAAAUAUCUUCAGCAC